UGUCCCUGAGACCCAAGUCAGUGGUGGGAGU
This 31-nucleotide non-coding RNA is filed under the name Homo sapiens (human). The record is from RNAcentral. Lineage: Eukaryota; Metazoa; Chordata; Mammalia; Primates; Hominidae.